Molecule: ribosomal RNA, 864 nt
Filed under: uncultured archaeon
Lineage: Archaea
Description: SSU rRNA
Rfam family: Archaeal small subunit ribosomal RNA
Source: RNAcentral
AACCAGCACCUCAAGUGGUCAGGAUGAUUAUUGGGCCUAAAGCAUCCGUAGCCGGCUCUGUAAGUUUUCGGUUAAAUCUGUACGCUUAACGUACAGGCUGCCGGGAAUACUGCAGAGCUAGGUAGUGGGAGAGGUAGACGGUACUCGGUAGGAAGGGGUAAAAUCCUUUGAUCUAUUGAUGACCACCUGUGGCGAAGGCGGUCUACCAGAACACGUACGACGGUGAGGGAUGAAAGCUGGGGGAGCAAACCGGAUUAGAUACCCGGGUAGUCCCAGCUGUAAACUAUGCAAACUCAGUGAUGCAUUGGCUUGUGGCCAAUGCAGUGCUGCAGGGAAGCCGUUAAGUUUGCCGCCUGGGAAGUACGUACGCAAGUAUGAAACUUAAAGGAAUUGGCGGGGGAGCACCACAGGGGGUGAAGCCUGCGGUUCAAUUGGAGUCAACGCCAGAAAUCUUACCCGGAGAGACAGCAGAAUGAAGGUCAAGCUGAAGACUUUACCAGACAAGCUGAGAGGUGGUGCAUGGCCGUCGCCAGCUCGUGCCGUGAGAUGUCCUGUUAAGUCAGGUAACGAGCGAGAUCCCUGCCUCUAGUUGCCACCAUUACUCUCAGGAGUAGUGGGGCGAAUUAGCGGGACCGCCGCAGUUAAUGCGGAGGAAGGAAGGGGCCACGGCAGGUCAGUAUGCCCCGAAACUCUGGGGCCACACGCGGGCUGCAAUGGUAACGACAAUGGGUUUCGAAUUCGAAAGGAUGAGGUAAUCCUCAAACGUUACCACAGUUAUGACUGAGGGCUGCAACUCGCCCUCACGAAUAUGGAAUCCCUAGUAACUGCGUGUCACUAUCGCGCGGUGAAUACGUCCCUGCUCCU